AGCGCGCAUGUGAUACACACACAAAGAAAUUAGGAAUAAACUAUCCUCAAUUUGUUCGAUGUUCGGAAGUUUUUUCAAUAUUUCUUGUUUUUAAAAGUUCAAAAAAUCGUACAAAGUGACAAAAUCGUAAGUCGACCCGACGAUAAACACGAUAGUGUACCGCAUUUUCACUGCAGCAAUAUGUCGAAGUGCCACGUCCCGCGAUGCCGGAGCAGAAAAAUUUUAAAACUUGGGGAUACUGUUUUAACCUAUAAUCAGCAAAGAAGACAUCUUUGUACUGGAGCUAUCCAAUGCAUUCGCUUCUUGGAUCUUCCUAAACGUUCCGUUCCAAUGGUUUCACACAAAAUUUAUACAUUUUAUACAUUAAAUUUAUACAUUAACUUCUUGCGAAAGUGCA
Molecule: long non-coding RNA, 397 nt
Organism: Toxorhynchites rutilus septentrionalis
Lineage: Eukaryota; Metazoa; Arthropoda; Insecta; Diptera; Culicidae
Exons: 3
Source: RefSeq, a predicted model, not a curated record